This 459-nucleotide ribosomal RNA is filed under the name uncultured bacterium. Its description in RNAcentral is "partial 16S ribosomal RNA". It matches the Rfam family "Bacterial small subunit ribosomal RNA", at positions 338 to 795 of the family's 1533-position model. The record is from RNAcentral.
CCUACGUGAGGCAGCAGUGAGGAAUAUUGGUCAAUGGCCGGAAGGCUGAACCAGCCAAGCCGCGUGAAGGACGAAGGUGCCAAGCAUUGUAAACUUCUUUUGUCAAGGGACAAAAUCAGGCUCGAGAGCCUGACCGAGGGUACUUGAAGAAAACGCAUCGGCUAACGCCGUGCCAGCAGACGCGGUAAUACGGAGGAUGCGAGCCUUGUCCGGAUUUAUUGGGUUUAAAGGGUGCGUAGGCGGGCUGUUAAGUCAGCGGUAAAAGCCCGGGGCUCAACCCCGGCGAGCCGUUGAAACUGGCUGUCGUGAGAGGGCGAGAGGAAUGCGGAAUGCGCAGUGUAGCGGUGAAAUGCUUAGAGAUUGCGCAGAACGCCGAUUGCGAAGGCAGCAUACCGGCGGCGAACUGACGCUGAGGCACGAAAGCGUGGGUAUCGAACAGGAUUAGAUACCCGAGUAGUC